GCCCGGUAGCUAAAUGCGGAAGAGAUAAGUGCUGAAAGCAUCUAAGCACGAAACUUGCCCCGAGAUGAGUUCUCCCUAACUCCUUGAGAGUCCUGAAGGAACGUUGAAGACGACGACGUUGAUAGGCCGGGUGUGUAAGCGCAGCGAUGCGUUGAGCUAACCGGUACUAAUGAACCGUGAGGCUUAACCUUACAACGCCGAAGGUGUUU
This 209-nucleotide ribosomal RNA is filed under the name Escherichia coli. RNAcentral's name for it is "partial 23S ribosomal RNA". It matches the Rfam family "Bacterial large subunit ribosomal RNA", at positions 2740 to 2925 of the family's 2925-position model. The record is from RNAcentral. Lineage: Bacteria; Pseudomonadati; Pseudomonadota; Gammaproteobacteria; Enterobacterales; Enterobacteriaceae.